Long non-coding RNA from Cyprinus carpio (common carp), 1774 nucleotides. The record is from Ensembl. Lineage: Eukaryota; Metazoa; Chordata; Actinopteri; Cypriniformes; Cyprinidae.
CAAUCUGUGAUAAGCAAAUCUGUAAUGUUUCAUCAUACAGUCAAGUCCAUCACCUCCAAGAUCUCCACCUGAGGAGAGGAAGAGAGAAGCGGAAAGAAGAAAGGAAGAAAUGGACAGAAGAGAGAGAGAACUAAAAAGAGAACAGGAUAGAAGAGAGAAAGAAAUUAACAGAAGAGAGAGAGGACUGGAUAGAGAACUGGAUGAAAGAGAGAAAGAAAUGGAUAGAAGAGAGAGAGCACUGGAAAGAAGAGCGAUGGAACUUGAUAGAAGAGAGAGAGAAAUGGGUGAUCAUCAAGUACGUCAUGAAUUGGCAGCAGAAGCAGAAGAAGCAGAAGACGGACCGGACACAAGCUCAGACGAAUCUUCAGUGAAGUGUUUCAUAGAAACACAAGAGAUGCCAGCUGAAGCUCUGAAACCUGUGCGAUGUCACAGCAAAGAAUUAAAUCGCUCAGAAGAGAAAAUGGGGGCGUCAGAGUCACAUGCAAGAGCUCUAUCCGAGGCAAGAAAGAUGGAGCCGGAGAGAGAAUUGAACAAAACAGCCAUGGAACCGGAUAGAAGAGUGAUGGACCUGGAUAAAAGUGCAAUGGAUACCAAUAUUAGAGAGAGAGAACUGGAUAGAAGGGAGAGCAAAAUGGAGAGAAGAGUGAGAGAACUGAAGCAAAAAGAAACAGAACUGGAUAAAAGACCGAUGGACCAGCAGAGAACACAGAUGUGCUGGUUUAUAAGUCAUAUACUGGAGAAAAGAGAGAUGGAACAAGAUAUUAUAGAGACAGAACAGGAGAAAACAGCAAUGGAUCCAGAUAUUAGAGUGAGACAACCAGAGAAAAGAGUGAUUGAACCCCAUAUUACAGAGAGAGAACUGGAUAGAAGAGCGAUGGAACUGGAUAGAAGAGCAUUUGACUUGCAUGUGGAACUAAACAGAAGAGGGAUGGAAAUGGAUAUUAGACAGAGAGAAAUUGAGAAAAGAGCAGAGAGAAGACAGACCGAACUGGAUAAAAGACUGAUGGACCUGCAUGUAAGGCAAUAUAAGCUGUAUAUUAGAGACCAAGAAGCAAUGGAACUGGAUGGAAGAGAGAAAGGACUAAAGAAAAGAGUGAUGGAACCAGAUAUUACAGAGAUAGAAAUGGAGAGACAAGAGAUGGAACUGUAUAUUAGAGAGAGAGAACUGGAUAGAAGAGAGAGCGAAUUGGAGAGAAGAGAAACCAAACUGGAGAGAAGAGAAACCGAACUGGAUAGAAGAGAGAGCGAAUUGGAGAGAAGAGAAACCAAACUGGAGAGAAGAGAGAGCGAAUUGGAGAGAAGAGAAACCAAACUGGAGAGAAGAGAGGGUGAACUGGAGAGAAGACAGAGUGAACUGGAGAGAAGGCCUGAAGGAAUGAACCCUGUUCGAAGUAGCAGCAAUGAGUUAGACCAUCCUAACAGUAAGAAUUAUGUUAUUUAUGCACAGUUUGAUUUAUGCAUGUGAUGAUGGAAGAUCAUGAAAUAAUUAUAAUUUCAUCUGAUACAACAAACUUGACAUUCAUUUUAGGUCAGACCACACACUGGACCUCCUAAGAUAAGAUAAUGAACACUUUUAUCAAAUCAUUACUCUGCAUAAUGAUGACUACAUCUCAAGUAGACUUACAAAAUGUUUACUGUAUAUUGUUACUCAUUGUUGGGAGUAACAUACAUAACAUCAUCAGAUUUCUAUUUUUGAAGUAACAUGUAAAGUAACAUGUUCCCCUAUUUUAAACGUACACUAUAAUACCUAAUAAACCCUUUGCACGUGACGUCA